This 453-nucleotide ribosomal RNA is filed under the name uncultured organism. Its description in RNAcentral is "partial 16S ribosomal RNA". It matches the Rfam family "Bacterial small subunit ribosomal RNA", at positions 331 to 800 of the family's 1533-position model. The record is from RNAcentral.
GUACACUCCUGCGGGAGGCAGCAGUGGGGAAUAUUGGACAAUGGGCGCAAGCCUGAUCCAGCCAUGCCGCGUGAGUGAUGAAGGCCCUAGGGUUGUAAAGCUCUUUCACCGGUGAAGAUAAUGACGGUAACCGGAGAAGAAGCCCCGGCUAACUUCGUGCCAGCAGCCGCGGUAAUACGAAGGGGGCUAGCGUUGUUCGGAUUUACUGGGCGUAAAGCGCACGUAGGCGGACUAUUAAGUCAGGGGUGAAAUCCCGGGGCUCAACCCCGGAACUGCCUUUGAUACUGGUAGUCUUGAGUUCGAGAGAGGUGAGUGGAGUUCCGAGUGUAGAGGUGAAAUUCGUAGAUAUUCGGAGGAACACCAGUGGCGAAGGCGGCUCACUGGCUCGAUACUGACGCUGAGGUGCGAAAGCGUGGGGAGCAAACAGGAUUAGAAACCCCAGUAGUCCCAUGA